UGGGGGAUAUUGCACAAUGGGCGAAAGCCUGAUGCAGCGACGCCGCGUGGGGGAUGAAGGCUUUCGGGUUGUAAACCUCUUUCGCUAUCGAACAAGGCCCGCUUAGGGUGGGUUGAGGGUAGGUGGAGAAGAAGCGCCGGCUAACUACGUGCCAGCAGCCGCGGUAAUACGUAGGGCGCGAGCGUUGUCCGGAAUUAUUGGGCGUAAAGGGCUUGUAGGCGGCUUGUUGCGCCUGCUGUGAAAACGCGGGGCUUAUCUUCGCGCGUGCAGUGGGUACGGGCAGGCUUGAGUGUGGUAUGGGUGACUGGAAUUCCAGGUGUAGCGGUGGAAUGCGCAGAUAUCUGGAGGAACACCGAUGGCGAAGGCAGGUCACUGGGCCAUUACUGACGCUGAGGAGCGAAAGCAUGGGUAGCGAACAGG
This 420-nucleotide ribosomal RNA is filed under the name bacterium. RNAcentral's name for it is "partial 16S ribosomal RNA". It matches the Rfam family "Bacterial small subunit ribosomal RNA", at positions 355 to 776 of the family's 1533-position model. The record is from RNAcentral.